RNAcentral lists this ribosomal RNA (253 nucleotides) under uncultured bacterium. Its description in RNAcentral is "partial 16S ribosomal RNA". It matches the Rfam family "Bacterial small subunit ribosomal RNA", at positions 524 to 776 of the family's 1533-position model. The record is from RNAcentral.
UACGGGGGGGGCAAGCGUUGUUCGGAAUUACUGGGCGUAAAGGGCUCGUAGGUGGCCAACUAAGUCGGACGUGAAAUCCCUCAGCUUAACUGGGGAACUGCGUCCGAUACUGGAUGGCUUGAAUCCGGGAGAGGGAUGCAGAAUUCCAGGUGUAGCGGUGAAAUGCGUAGAUAUCUGGAGGAAUACCGGUGGCGAAGGCGGAUCUCUGGGCCUUACCUGACGCUGAGGCGCGAAAGCUAGGGGAGCAAACAGG